RNAcentral lists this ribosomal RNA (253 nucleotides) under uncultured bacterium. RNAcentral describes it as "partial 16S ribosomal RNA". It matches the Rfam family "Bacterial small subunit ribosomal RNA", at positions 524 to 776 of the family's 1533-position model. The record is from RNAcentral.
UACGAAAGGGGCUAGCGUUUUUCGGAAUUACUGGGCGUAAAGCGCGCGUAGGCGGGCUAGCAAGUUGGGGGUGAAAUCCCGGUGCUCAACCUCGGAACUGCCUCCAAAACUGCUAGCCUAGAGGAUGUGAGAGGAUAGUGGAAUUCCGAGUGUAGAGGUGAAAUUCGUAGAUAUUCGGAAGAACACCAGUGGCGAAGGCGACUGUCUGGCGCAUUUCUGACGCUGAGGUGCGAAAGCGUAGGGAGCAAACAGG